AUCUCUCAUUCCAGCUUCUAGAGAAUCUUGGAUAACUGAUUGGCGGUUUCAUGUGUAAGUUCACUUGUCAUGUCAGUCGUAUAUGUUUCAAAAGAUCUAAACUCCAGGUUUCUAAAUUUGCACGGCAGACUUUAUGAGAAUUCAUGUCCUUUCAAGUAAGUCAGCAAGGUCACUUGUUUACUAACCUUUUGGCUGCUACCCUUGAAUCUCCCUUUUUACUCCCUAAAGCGGGCCAUCUUAAUUUGAGGGUAAUCCUUCGCUACUUUUCAUGGACUUCAUCCACUGGUGAAAACCGACGAGAG
Daphnia pulex (common water flea) is the source of this 302-nucleotide long non-coding RNA. RefSeq lists it as uncharacterized. The transcript has 3 exons. The record is from RefSeq and is a predicted model, not a curated record. Lineage: Eukaryota; Metazoa; Arthropoda; Branchiopoda; Diplostraca; Daphniidae.